GACGAACGCUGGCGGCGUGCUUAACACAUGCAAGUCGAACGGAAAGGCCCUGCUUAUGUGGGGUGCUCGAGUGGCGAACGGGUGAGUAACACGUGAGUAACCUGCCCUUGACUUUGGGAUAACUUCAGGAAACUGGGGCUAAUACCGGAUAGGAGCUCCUGCUGCAUGGUGAGGGUUGGAAAGUUUCGGCGGUUGGGGAUGGACUCGCGGCUUAUCAGCUUGUUGGUGGGGUAGUGGCUUACCAAGGCUUUGACGGGUAGCCGGCCUGAGAGGGUGACCGGCCACAUUGGGACUGAGAUACGGCCCAGACUCCUACGGGAGGCAGCAGUGGGGAAUAUUGCACAAUGGGCGGAAGCCUGAUGCAGCAACGCCGCGUGCGGGAUGACGGCCUUCGGGUUGUAAACCGCUUUCGCCUGUGACGAAGCGUGAGUGACGGUAAUGGGUAAAGAAGCACCGGCUAACUACGUG
Molecule: ribosomal RNA, 468 nt
Filed under: uncultured bacterium
Lineage: Bacteria
Description: partial 16S ribosomal RNA
Rfam family: Bacterial small subunit ribosomal RNA
Source: RNAcentral